RNAcentral lists this long non-coding RNA (512 nucleotides) under Arachis ipaensis. RNAcentral describes it as "long non-coding RNA (AIPA_LNC001332)". The record is from RNAcentral. Lineage: Eukaryota; Viridiplantae; Streptophyta; Magnoliopsida; Fabales; Fabaceae.
GCACCCUAGCUACUUUCACAAGAAACCACAACAUGCAUUACCACCACCAUCCUCCACCACCACCAGGACCACCAGGUCCUCCACCGCCACCACGGCCUGAGCCAUUUGCUGAUGCACCGCCACCUCCACCUCCCGGUCCUCCUUCACCGCCACCGCCACAACCAUUAUUCUAUCAUCACUCACCACCACCACCACCACCACCGGAGCCCUGUCCUCCCCCAACUCUAGUUCCUUUUCAUCAUCAUCCACCACCACCAGGGCCUCCGGGACCUCCACCAUCACCAAGGCCUCUCGGUCCUCCGCCGCCACCUUAUUAGUAAUUAGUACGAUGAAUAGCACACAUAUAUAAUUUGAAUUAAGGAGUAAUUAAUAGUAACAGUUUAGAGUCUUUGCAUAUAAUUGCAUUUGUUUUUUUAAAUUAUAUUGCAUCAUAUCCAUCCAACUACUCUUUUAUGUACCUUAGUUGUUGCAUUGAAAUAAAUUUAGGAAGAAAAAUAAAAAGCAUGUGUGCA